AAAGGAAUUGACGGGGACCCGCACAAGCAGCGGAGCAUGUGGUUUAAUUCGAAGCAACGCGAAGAACCUUACCAGGGCUUGACAUCCCCCUGACGUACCCGUAACGGGGUAUUCCUUCGGGCAGGGGAGACAGGUGGUGCAUGGUUGUCGUCAGCUCGUGUCGUGAGAUGUUGGGUUAAGUCCCGCAACGAGCGCAACCCUUGUCAUUAGUUGCCAUCAUUAGGUUGGGCACUCUAAUGAGACUGCCGGGGAUAACUCGGAGGAAGGUGGGGAUGACGUCAAAUCAUCAUGCCCCUUAUGUCCUGGGCUACACACGUGCUACAAUGGCCGUUACAGCGAGAAGCGAAGCCGCGAGGCGGAGCGGACCUCCAAAAGCGGCCCCAGUUCGGAUCGCGGGCUGCAACCCGCCCGCGUGAAGCCGGAGUUGCUAGUAAUCGCGGAUCAGCACGCCGCGGUGAAUGCGUUCCCGGGUCUUGUACACACCGCCCGU
RNAcentral lists this ribosomal RNA (490 nucleotides) under uncultured bacterium. RNAcentral's name for it is "bacterial SSU rRNA". It matches the Rfam family "Bacterial small subunit ribosomal RNA", at positions 903 to 1397 of the family's 1533-position model. The record is from RNAcentral.